CCGGCGACCGGCGCACGGGUGAGUAACACGUAUGGAACCUGCCCGCAGCAGGGGGAUAAGCGGAAGAAAUUCCGUCUAAUACCGCGUAACAACGUUGGGAGGCAUCUCCCGAUGUUUAAAGAUUUAUCGGCUGCGGAUGGCCAUGCGGCGCAUUAGCUAGACGGCGGGGUAACGGCCCACCGUGGCGACGAUGCGUAGGGGUUCUGAGAGGAAGGUCCCCCACACUGGUACUGAGACACGGCCCAAACUCCUACGGGAGGCAGCAG
This 266-nucleotide ribosomal RNA is filed under the name uncultured bacterium. RNAcentral's name for it is "partial 16S ribosomal RNA". It matches the Rfam family "Bacterial small subunit ribosomal RNA", at positions 88 to 354 of the family's 1533-position model. The record is from RNAcentral.